UCUCCGUAGGUGAACCUGCGGAGGGAUCAUUACAGAGUUCAUGCCCUACCGGGUAGAUCUCCCACCCUAUGUUAUUAUUACUUUGUUGCUUUGGCGGGCCGUUAGGCUCCGGCCCGACUACCGGCCCCGGCUGGAAGCGCCCGCCAGAGGACCCAAAACCCUGAAUAUUAGUGUCGUCUGAGUACUAUAUAAUAGUUAAAACUUUCAACAACGGAUCUCUUGGUUCUG
RNAcentral lists this unclassified non-coding RNA (228 nucleotides) under plant metagenome. Its description in RNAcentral is "partial contains small subunit ribosomal RNA, internal transcribed spacer 1, and 5.8S ribosomal RNA". The record is from RNAcentral.